Molecule: unclassified non-coding RNA, 384 nt
Filed under: soil metagenome
Description: partial contains 5.8S ribosomal RNA, internal transcribed spacer 2, and large subunit ribosomal RNA
Rfam family: 5.8S ribosomal RNA (bases 1-120)
Source: RNAcentral
GAUGAAGAACGUAGCGAAAUGCGAUAAGUAAUGUGAAUUGCAGAAUUCAGUGAAUCAUCGAAUCUUUGAACGCACCUUGCACCCUUUGGCAUUCCGAAGGGUAUGCUCGUUUGAGUGUCAUUGUACUCUCACUCUCCCGAUGCUUUUGGAUCGGGAGUGGUGGACUUGGGUGUUGCUGCUUUGCUGUGGCUCGCCUCAAAUGGAGUAGUGCAACUCUUGGUUGGACAUAGUACGGCGUGAUAAGUGUCUUCGCCGGCGCCUCAUUAUAGAGGGUGGCCGAUCGGGAGCUCUGUGCUUCAAACCGUCUUCGGACAACAUCUGACAACUUGACCUCCAAUCGAGUAGGACUACCCGCUGAACUUAAGCAUAUCAAUAAGCGGAGGA